UUCCGUAGGUGAACCUGCGGAAGGAUCAUUCGCACGCAAUGACCAAUCUUGUAUGAACGAACGUCUGUGAACCAUUUUCGCUAGAUUUUGGUUCGGCGAUUGCAACGCACAUAUUCAAAUGCAGAGUGUGUUCCUUGCAAUCUCUCACAUGCUCGCCUCCUUCAUGGCAACACUGUUGCACAACACUUGAAAUUACAACUUUCAGCGACGGAUGUCUCGGCUCCAACAACGAUGAAGGGCGCAGCGAAGUGUGAUAAGCAUUGUGAAAUGCAGAGCACCGUGAACCAAUCGAAUUUUUAACGCAUAUUGCGCUGCUGGGUCCGCCCUGCGGCAUGUCCACUUCAGUGUCUACGCGUGUCUUGCCAACAGCAGUUCUCUCAUCUGCGAAUCUGUUGUGCGUUGGGCAGUGUGGCAAUGGGUCCAUCCGACUGCUGUUGCCACACAUCUUUGGUAUGGUGGAUGGACAUCGACGACCCUGAUGUUCGCACUUUUGCGCCAUGUGGUCUCGACUAACUGCCAGCCUGAAAGCACUUAUUGUGCUGACCUCGCAUCUUCAGACAUGAAGUUGGGUAAGCAAACCCGCUGAAUUUAAGCAUAUCA
RNAcentral lists this ribosomal RNA (600 nucleotides) under uncultured eukaryote. RNAcentral describes it as "eukaryotic LSU rRNA". The stretch from base 197 to 350 matches the Rfam family "5.8S ribosomal RNA". The record is from RNAcentral.